CCACGGGCGGCUGCAGUGGGGAAUAUUGCACAAUGGGCGCAAGCCUGAUGCAGCCAUGCCGCGUGUAUGAAGAAGGCCUUCGGGUUGUAAAGUACUUUCAGCGGGGAGGAAGGGAGUAAAGUUAAUACCUUUGCUCAUUGACGUUACCCGCAGAAGAAGCACCGGCUAACUCCGUGCCAGCAGCCGCGGUAAUACGGAGGGUGCAAGCGUUAAUCGAAAUUACUGGGCGUAAAGCGCACGCAGGCGGUUUGUUAAGUCAGAUGUGAAAUCCCCGGGCUCAACCUGGGAACUGCAUCUGAUACUGGCAAGCUUGAGUCUCGUAGAGGGGGGUAGAAUUCCAGGUGUAGCGGUGAAAUGCGUAGAGAUCUGGAGGAAUACCGGUGGCGAAGGCGGCCCCCUGGACGAAGACUGACGCUCAGGUGCGAAAGCGUGGGGAGCAAACAGGAUUAGAUACCCCGGUAGUC
Molecule: ribosomal RNA, 464 nt
Filed under: uncultured bacterium
Lineage: Bacteria
Description: partial 16S ribosomal RNA
Rfam family: Bacterial small subunit ribosomal RNA
Source: RNAcentral